AGAGUUUGAUCAUGGCUCAGGAUGAACGCUAGCUACAGGCUUAACACAUGCAAGUCGAGGGGAAACGACAUCGAAAGCUUGCUUUUGAUGGGCGUCGACCGGCGCACGGGUGAGUAACGCGUAUCCAACCUGCCCACCACUUGGGGAUAACCUUGCGAAAGUAAGACUAAUACCCAAUGACGUCUCUAGAAGACAUCUGAAAGAGAUUAAAGAUUUAUCGGUGAUGGAUGGGGAUGCGUCUGAUUAGCUUGUUGGCGGGGUAACGCCACAGGCGACGAUCAGUAGGGUUCUGAGAGGAACGGUCCCCACAUUGGAACUGAGACACGGUCCAAACUCCGUACGGAGGCA
This 348-nucleotide ribosomal RNA is filed under the name uncultured bacterium. RNAcentral describes it as "bacterial SSU rRNA". It matches the Rfam family "Bacterial small subunit ribosomal RNA", at positions 8 to 350 of the family's 1533-position model. The record is from RNAcentral.